UCCCCAACGUUUAGAAGUGCACGAGCCAUCAC
This 32-nucleotide non-coding RNA is filed under the name Homo sapiens (human). Lineage: Eukaryota; Metazoa; Chordata; Mammalia; Primates; Hominidae. The record is from RNAcentral.